Vigna unguiculata (cowpea) is the source of this 362-nucleotide long non-coding RNA. RefSeq lists it as uncharacterized. The record is from RefSeq and is a predicted model, not a curated record. Lineage: Eukaryota; Viridiplantae; Streptophyta; Magnoliopsida; Fabales; Fabaceae.
GUUAUUGCCGUCUUCUUUUGUUAGGGUUUACUCCCAAUCUAGAUACAAUGAGCUCAGUUUCACCUUCUAGCCUCGUCUUGGUAAAUUUGUCCCUGAAGGUUCUGUGUUUUGCUAUUGGAGUCGCACCAUUCUCUUAGCCUUUUUUUCCAGAUGCGAGGAACACCGGUGGUCAUCAAGGAGGUGAUGGUUUCGCUGCUUAGUCAUCUGGAUCUUUCUACUUUGGGUUUUCUUUCUAGGCUAUGGCCCAUGUACUAGCUUAACUCUUAAUUUUCUAUUUUGUUCUUGUUGAACUUUGUAACGGUUUAGUUUUGGCAUCGUAGUGUUCCUUGGAUAAUUGUAAGGAGUUAAGUUUAAACUCUGGA